CCUACGGGUGGCAGCAGUGGGGAAUCUUGCGCAAUGGGCGAAAGCCUGACGCAGCCAUGCCGCGUGAAUGAUGAAGGUCUUAGGAUUGUAAAAUUCUUUCACCGGGGACGAUAAUGAUGGUACCCGGAGAAGAAGCCCCGGCUAACUUCGUGCCAGCAGCCUCGGUAAUACGACGGGGGCUAGCGUUGCUUGGAAUUACUGGGCGUAAAGGGGGCGUAGGAGGACUGUUAAGUUAGAGGUGAAAGCCCAGGGCUCAACCUUGGAAUUGCCUUGGAUACUGGCAGUCUUGAGUCAGGAAGAGGUAUGUGGGACUCCGAGUGUAGAGGUGAAAUUCGUAGAUAUUCAGAAGAACACCAGUGGCGAAGGCGACAUACUGGUCCGUUACUGACGCUGAGGCUCGAAAGCGUGGGGAGCAAACAGGAUUAGAUACCCUUGUAGUC
Molecule: ribosomal RNA, 440 nt
Filed under: uncultured Caulobacter sp.
Lineage: Bacteria; Pseudomonadati; Pseudomonadota; Alphaproteobacteria; Caulobacterales; Caulobacteraceae
Description: bacterial SSU rRNA
Rfam family: Bacterial small subunit ribosomal RNA
Source: RNAcentral